This 249-nucleotide long non-coding RNA is filed under the name Solanum tuberosum (potato). RNAcentral describes it as "long non-coding RNA (STUB_LNC005855)". The record is from RNAcentral. Lineage: Eukaryota; Viridiplantae; Streptophyta; Magnoliopsida; Solanales; Solanaceae.
AGGUAUGCGAGGAAUCAGAAAGCAUGGUAAUUUCAUAGCAGAAGAAUCCACACCGAUACAAAGGUAAAAUGGAAUUAAAAGUCCUAACUAUCAAGAUUUUUUGGUGUGGUCAUCGGAGAAGUUGGUCAAACAGUGAUACCUCAAAUCGGCGUCAUACUGGAUAGAGAUGAUGAACAGUCCUUGGGUGUUCACACAUCACCUGGAAAGGAAAAAAGAAUCAGCUCAAAGAAUGAAGAAGAAGGAAGAGAC